This 465-nucleotide ribosomal RNA is filed under the name Vreelandella stevensii. RNAcentral describes it as "partial 16S ribosomal RNA". It matches the Rfam family "Bacterial small subunit ribosomal RNA", at positions 338 to 795 of the family's 1533-position model. The record is from RNAcentral. Lineage: Bacteria; Pseudomonadati; Pseudomonadota; Gammaproteobacteria; Oceanospirillales; Halomonadaceae.
CCUACGGGCGGCAGCAGUGGGGAAUAUUGGACAAUGGGCGAAAGCCUGAUCCAGCCAUGCCGCGUGUGUGAAGAAGGCCUUCGGGUUGUAAAGCACUUUCAGUGGGGAAGAAAGCCUUGGGGCUAAUACCCUCGAGGAAGGACAUCACCCACAGAAGAAGCACCGGCUAACUCCGUGCCAGCAGCCGCGGUAAUACGGAGGGUGCGAGCGUUAAUCGGAAUUACUGGGCGUAAAGCGCGCGUAGGCGGUCUGAUAAGCCGGUUGUGAAAGCCCCGGGCUCAACCUGGGAACGGCAUCCGGAACUGUCAGGCUAGAGUGCAGGAGAGGAAGGUAGAAUUCCCGGUGUAGCGGUGAAAUGCGUAGAGAUCGGGAGGAAUACCAGUGGCGAAGGCGGCCUUCUGGACUGACACUGACGCUGAGGUGCGAAAGCGUGGGUAGCAAACAGGACUAGAUACCCGGGUAGUC